AUACGGAGGGUGCGAGCGUUAAUCGGAAUUACUGGGCGUAAAGCGUACGUAGGCGGUUUGCUAAGUCAGAUGUGAAAGCCCCGGGCUUAACCUGGGAACUGCAUUUGAUACUGGCAGGCUAGAGUAUGAUAGAGGGGGGUAGAAUUCCUGGUGUAGCGGUGAAAUGCGUAGAUAUCAGGAGGAAUACCAGUGGCGAAGGCGGCCCCCUGGAUCAAUACUGACGCUGAGGUACGAAAGCGUGGGGAGCGAACAGGAUUAGAUACCCUUGUAGUCC
This 274-nucleotide ribosomal RNA is filed under the name uncultured bacterium. Its description in RNAcentral is "partial 16S ribosomal RNA". It matches the Rfam family "Bacterial small subunit ribosomal RNA", at positions 523 to 796 of the family's 1533-position model. The record is from RNAcentral.